UACGGGGGGGGCAAGCGUUGUUCGGAAUUACUGGGCGUAAAGGGCUCGUAGGUGGCCAACUAAGUCAGACGUGAAAUCCCUCGGCUUAACCGGGGAACUGCGUCUGAUACUGGAUGGCUUGAGUUUGGGAGAGGGACGCGGAAUUCCAGGUGUAGCGGUGAAAUGCGUAGAUAUCUGGAGGAACACCGGUGGCGAAGGCGGCAUCCUGGACCGGCAUUGACGCUGAUGAGCGAAAGCCAGGGGAGCAAACGGG
RNAcentral lists this ribosomal RNA (253 nucleotides) under uncultured bacterium. RNAcentral describes it as "partial 16S ribosomal RNA". It matches the Rfam family "Bacterial small subunit ribosomal RNA", at positions 524 to 776 of the family's 1533-position model. The record is from RNAcentral.